Molecule: small nucleolar RNA, 90 nt
Filed under: Capsicum annuum
Lineage: Eukaryota; Viridiplantae; Streptophyta; Magnoliopsida; Solanales; Solanaceae
Description: Small nucleolar RNA U31b
Rfam family: Small nucleolar RNA U31b
Source: Rfam by way of RNAcentral
GAAAAUGAUGACAGUUAUUGUCGCCCCAGUCUUAUGUUGCAUCCUGUUUAUUGGAUAUGCAAGGUGGUGAUUGACACAUAUGUCUGAUUC